This 425-nucleotide ribosomal RNA is filed under the name uncultured Caryophanaceae bacterium. Its description in RNAcentral is "bacterial SSU rRNA". It matches the Rfam family "Bacterial small subunit ribosomal RNA", at positions 356 to 774 of the family's 1533-position model. Lineage: Bacteria; Bacillati; Bacillota; Bacilli; Caryophanales; Caryophanaceae. The record is from RNAcentral.
AGGGACUCUUCCACAAUGGACGAAAGUCUGAUGGAGCAACGCCGCGUGAGUGAUGAAGGUUUUCGGAUCGUAAAACUCUGUUGUAAGGGAAGAGCAAGUACAGUAGUAACUGGCUGUACCUUGACGGUACCUUAUUAGAAAGCCACGGCUAACUACGUGCCAGCAGCCGCGGUAAUACGUGGGUGCAAGCGUUGUCCGGAAUUAUUGGGCGUAAAGCGCGCGCAGGUGGUUUCUUAAGUCUGAUGUGAAAGCCCACGGCUCAACCGUGGAGGGUCAUUGGAAACUGGGAGACUUGAGUGCAGAAGAGGAGAGUGGAAUUCCAAGUGUAGCGGUGAAAUGCGCAGAGAUUUGGAGGAACAACAGUGGCGAAGGCGACUUUCUGGUCUGUAACUGACACUGAGGCGCGAAAGCGUGGGGAGCAAACA